RNAcentral lists this transfer RNA (66 nucleotides) under Lepidostoma longipilosum. RNAcentral's name for it is "tRNA-Ile". Lineage: Eukaryota; Metazoa; Arthropoda; Insecta; Trichoptera; Lepidostomatidae. The record is from RNAcentral.
AAUAUAGUGCCUGACUAAAGGGUUAUUUUGAUAGAAUAAAUUAAGUAAAUUUUUUUACCUAUAUUU